RNAcentral lists this ribosomal RNA (253 nucleotides) under uncultured bacterium. RNAcentral's name for it is "partial 16S ribosomal RNA". It matches the Rfam family "Bacterial small subunit ribosomal RNA", at positions 524 to 776 of the family's 1533-position model. The record is from RNAcentral.
UACGAAGGGUGCAAGCGUUAAUCGGAAUUACUGGGCGUAAAGGGUGCGUAGGCGGUUGUGUAAGUCUGUCGUGAAAUCCCCGGGCUCAACCUGGGAAUGGCGAUGGAUACUGGACAGCUAGAGUGUGUCAGAGGAUGGUGGAAUUUCCGGUGUAGCGGUGAAAUGCGUAGAGAUCGGAAGGAAUAUCAGUGGCGAAGGCGGCCAUCUGGGACAACACUGACGCUGAAGCACGAAAGCGUGGGGAGCAAACAGG